UUUUGCGCAAUGGGCGAAAGCCUGACGCAGCAACGCCGCGUGAGGGAUGAAGGCCUUCGGGUUGUAAACCUCUUUUCUCAGGGACGAUAAUGACGGUACCUGAGGAAUAAGCCACGGCUAACUACGUUCCAGCAGCCGCGGUAAUACGUAGGUGGCAAGCGUUGUCCGGAUUUACUGGGCGUAAAGAGCGCGCAGGCGGUCGGAUUAGUCGCGUGUGAAAGCCCCCGGCUCAACUGGGGAGGGUCACGCGAUACUGUUCGACUCGAAGGCAGGAGAGGGAAGUGGAAUUCCCGGUGUAGUGGUGAAAUGCGUAGAUAUCGGGAGGAACACCAGUGGCGAAGGCGACUUCCUGGCCUGUUCUUGACGCUGAGGCGCGAAAGCUAGGGUAGCAAACG
RNAcentral lists this ribosomal RNA (395 nucleotides) under uncultured bacterium. RNAcentral describes it as "bacterial SSU rRNA". It matches the Rfam family "Bacterial small subunit ribosomal RNA", at positions 362 to 774 of the family's 1533-position model. The record is from RNAcentral.